This 468-nucleotide ribosomal RNA is filed under the name uncultured bacterium. RNAcentral's name for it is "partial 16S ribosomal RNA". It matches the Rfam family "Bacterial small subunit ribosomal RNA", at positions 28 to 507 of the family's 1533-position model. The record is from RNAcentral.
GACGAACGCUGGCGGCGUGCUUAACACAUGCAAGUCGAACGGAAAGGCCCUGCUUUUGUGGGGUGCUCGAGUGGCGCACGGGUGAGUAACACGUGAGUAACAUGCCCUUGACUUUGGGGUAACUUCAGGGAACUGGGGCUAAUACCGGAUAGGAGCUCCUGCCGCGUAGUGUGGGUUGGAAAGAUUCGGCGGUUGGGGAUGGACUCGCGGCUUAUCAGCUUGUUGGUGGGGUAGUGGCUUACCAAGGCUUCGACGGGUAGCCGGCCUGGGAGGGUGACCGGCCACAUUGGGACUGAGAUACGGGCCAGACUCCUACGGGAGGCAGCAGUGGGGAAUAGUGCACAAUGGGCGGAAGCCUGAUGCAGCAACGCCGCGUGCGGGAUGACGGCCUUCGGGUUGUAAACCGCUUUCGCCUGUGACGAAGCGUGAGUGACGGUAAUGGGUAAAGAAGCACCGGCUAACUACGUG